GCAAAUUUUGGCAGUUACAAACCUGUACACUUUUUUUUUUGUUGUUUUGUUUUUAUAGCAAAAGAACACAAGACAAUACUGCCAACAGCAAUUAUGAAGGAACAAUUAGUUUCUGAAUGAAGGACUAUACCCACUCAAAGUGAUUAACCUUCCCUUUUGCAUAAGGUUGAAUUUGUUGUCAUUGGAGAAAUGACAUCUCUCAAUACUUACUUGAAAUGGCAUAAAAAUCAUGUCUAUCUUUUUUUGUGCAAAACACAUUCAUUUGAAAAAAGUCAAUAAAAACCAUCUUCUUAAAAACAGAAAGAAGUUAAAACAAAAAGCUGAAUCCAAAGGAAAGUUACAGUACAUUUUGAAAUGAUUAAAAAGUUUUAAAAUCUAAAACGUCUUUGUUUUUCUUUUUUUUUUUUUUUUGCUGUUACCUUAAAAGUUUAAACCAACUUUGAUGACUCUUUAGAAUUAUAUCAAACAAACAAACAAAAAGAAAUUAAAGCGACCUGAUUGGCAUCAAAUAUCUACAAAAGCCUGGUAAUUUGAAACCAUUAUAUACAUUAUUUUAUAAACUUCUUUUUAAACACCAAAACAUACAUCUUUUACAAACCAGCCUGCUUGCAACAGGUAAAAUUUACAAGACAAUCUUUUCCGAUACAGUGCUUUAAAGAGAACUGCUUUCACUCCUAAACAUCUUUGUCACCUCCUGAAAAGCGGCAGUAUGGGCUCCUUGCAUUGUUAAGUAAUAGCGAUUCAGGUAUUCCUAUGACAGAAGAAUGCUACAGUUCUGAGGGCUCCAAUCUCUUUCCAUAACACAGUUCAAGUGCACUCUUAACACUGGUAAAGAUUACAUAUGGCCUUUGUGUAACACGACAUAUUUGCAAUUAUUGCUUUUCAUUAUUACAUAAAGAAAUGAAGUUAAUUUCAUUUCCUCCCCGUCCACCCAUCCCUUGGAUGAUGCAGCUAAUUUACUAACUGAAUGGCCCCUCUGAUAAUGGAGAUGUCAAAUGUCAAGUUUAUGAAACACAGGCUAAAAGCCAUGGAUAAUGGGCAAUAGUCUAAAUUUCUAAGGCUCACAUCGCAGUUUGGUGUAUUGAGAGGAACAGAGAUGCAAACAGGCAAAAAGCACAGUUUUACUGCAUGAUAAAUGAUGGUAAAUCACCAGAGAAUGAACCUGAAGAUGUAGCUCUCUUGUUGGAAACCUACAAAAUGUCCAUUAUUAAUUGGUGAAUAGCUCCAAAAAAAUACCAACAAAGCACAAAGGUACUUUAACUACUGGUUUUAAAUAGCUGGUUUUCUCCAUUAUUAAGGAUGCUACCUCUUCAAAUGAAGCUUAGCAGAACUGGCCCAGGGCACCUUCAACUCACUCUCCCAUGACUACAAUUAUUAUCGGCUGUAAGAAUACACUCUAGCAUCCAUUUAGCUUUUUCAAGCAGGAGUUCGAUGAGGAGUAAAGCUUAACCAUUUGCCGUGUCCAGCCCACAGUUCUCUUUACAACUGAAUUUAUAUUGAGCCAUGAGCCACAAUUUUUAUGUCAUAUUCUCAAGGUUUCCCACCCGCCUGGUUCGCAGGGACCAAAGGCUGCUGCCUCCCCAUUAAUCAGCAUUUCAGUGGCAUGCAUUUUUUCACUGUGCUGCACCUACUCUGAGUUUCUGACUGGAAAGGACAGCAAUACAUCAAGGCUAGCACUACUUCGAACUAGACUGCAGAAUUUAGAGAAGGGGAGAAAACAAUUCUGAGGACCAAAAUUUAACCUGUUUGUGGGACAUACAGAGCGGAAGAGCUCACUUGAGAGAUGAAGCACACAACUUUCUGACGUCAGGAAAAUAGUGGCCCUGAGAAGCCUUUGACUCCUUCUAGCCUUCUACUGCUACUGUAGGUUAAGGAAACCCAUGGGACAAUUCAGGAUCAAAGAUGUCACUGAGCUUUAGGAAAACAGCUUAAUUGCCUGAAAAUGGCAGUACUGCAAUGAAUCUCUGCAUUCCAUCAUCCUCCUGAUUGCCUUCAUAUGCUGUGCCCCACAGGAGGGUCCUAUAGGAAGGCAACUUGACGGUGGUCUUCUAGUGGGGUUGUCCAUUUGCCCCCAUGGUAGGGAAGUGAUUCUGCAGCUCCUUGGUGUUACCUUUGGCCCUUUGCCCUGCUAUAAGAUACUGGCUUAGGACAGCAAUCACAUCCAGUAUCCAGGGUUUUGUGUUCUGGGGUUUUUUUGACCUUUUUUUUAGGAUGUUUGUAAUACAAAGGCAAAAAUUAACAUGUUUAAGAAAGAUACAUAAGCCCAAUUUUUCCUUUUGCACAAGGCCACUUAAUGUGGUGUUGGCAGCAUAAAUUAUGUUGUCAGUCACUUCAAGGCUCUUUCCAUUGCCCGUAUUAUCCAAAAGGCUGUCAAAUGUGCAUGACAUUCUCAACCUGAUCACAACACAGAGAACAAGCACCCUUUUACUCAUACACCCCUGUCGAACUCAGUGAUUUCUGAUACAAACAUGUAUUUGCAUUUUAACAAGUUGCUUAUUUCUUUUUGGUUUUUCUUUACAGAAAACAAACACUGUCUUGAUCCGAAGAGUUAUAAUCCACUGAUACUCAAAAGUACUUUAUUAAGUCUAUGAAACCUCUCCUACAGACGAUUCCGAAAGGAAAUACUGUGUAUUGGAGCCAUCUACAGGAAUGUGAACUGAAAUACAGACACGGGAUAAGCAGAUAUGAGGGGAAGCUCUAACAGAACCAGGGACCAGGCAAUGAUAGCAGCAGCGAUAUAAAAAUCAUCCUAGGCAGAAAAAGAAAUAUAUAUUGGAUGGAUUAAUACGCACGAUAAUUCUUACAUUAAGUUAUGAAUGUGUUGUUAUCUUCCAGGUUAGACGAUUAUGACCUGUCCAUGUUGAGCAGUAAUUAAAAAGAAAAUAAAAUGGUCUGGAUUAACAGGAGAGGGUUUAAUAUGAAAACUUUACUCCCUAAGAUGUAUUUCACCUUGAGAUCUGCAUUUGAGUCUUAUUAUUAUCAAAAAGAGCCAGAACAAAACCAGAAAGGCCACAGAAGUACCAAUAUUCACAGAGGGGUGUCUAUUUGAAUAUGCAUUAGGCCUAUUUGAUUUGGAGGGGAGGAGAUACUGAGGUAUAGAAAUCAUGAGGGGGUCAGAGAAGGCUGAAUGGGUGAUCCUUGGUGCCUUCCCAACAGCAUUUUAAUAAGUAGGUGUUCAGUGAAACGAAAUGGCAACAACAGCAAAACAGAAAAAGUACUAUACAUUGUAUUUAUGCAUAUUUUACUAGUAAAACUCACUACCAACAAGAUAUUACCGAGGCAACAAGCUUGGUAAGAAACAUUGAUUUUUUUUUUUUUUUUUGUAUGGCAAUUGCUAGGUUCCCAUGGUGUUCUCCCUCAUGGCACUUUUGAUAUGUCCCAGUAAAGUUUUGAUAUCAGUGUCUCAGGCUUACUCAAAAAUUUUCACUACAGAAAACAGAUGACAGGUACACUUCAGAACUAACUGGGG
Molecule: long non-coding RNA, 3469 nt
Filed under: Strigops habroptila (Kakapo)
Lineage: Eukaryota; Metazoa; Chordata; Aves; Psittaciformes; Psittacidae
Description: lncRNA (ENSSHBG00005004086.1)
Source: RNAcentral